UUUACAAGUAAUUGAAGAUUGAUUUGGUGGAAGUUGAGUCAAUUUCGAUGUUCCAUUGUCCAUGAAUAAUUUAUACUCUUCUUCUAUGGUAUUCUCUCACUUCAUAGUAUCCAUGACUUCAUUGUAUUACACAAACCGAAUGGAUCAAUAAAGAAUACAACAUUGAUAUGUUUUUCACUUACUUAAAGAAAGAUGUGGUUCUUCUACCAUGCACCAAGUUAUUUUCUAUCUCUCAAAAGAUAUCUCCUUUCACUUGAUGAAGCUUCACCUUCUUUCACUCUAAGAUUUCUUGUAAGCUUCUUUGCUCUUAAAACUUGCUUCUUUACAUUCAAAGAUUGAUAUUCCUCAUCAUCAUCAUUUUCAACAUCUUCAUUAU
Molecule: long non-coding RNA, 376 nt
Filed under: Physcomitrium patens
Lineage: Eukaryota; Viridiplantae; Streptophyta; Bryopsida; Funariales; Funariaceae
Description: long non-coding RNA (PPAT_LNC007022)
Source: RNAcentral